Molecule: ribosomal RNA, 405 nt
Filed under: uncultured bacterium
Lineage: Bacteria
Description: bacterial SSU rRNA
Rfam family: Bacterial small subunit ribosomal RNA
Source: RNAcentral
GGGAAUAUUGGGCAAUGGGCGCAAGCCUGACCCACCAACGCCGCGUGAAGGAAGAAGGCUUUCGGGUUGUAAACUUCUUUUAUCAGGGACGAAAGCAAUGACGGUACCUGAUGAAUAAGCCACGGCUAACUACGUGCCAGCAGCCGCGGUAAUACGUAGGUGGCAAGCGUUAUCCGGAUUUACUGGGUGUAAAGGGAGCGUAGACGGUUAUGCAAGUCUGGAGUGAAAGCCCGGGGCUCAACCCCGGGACUGCUUUGGAAACUGUAAAACUGGAGUGCAGGAGAGGCAGGCGGAAUUCCUAGUGUAGCGGUGAAAUGCGUAGAUAUUAGGAGGAACACCAGUGGCGAAGGCGGCCUGCUGGACUGUAACUGACGUUGAGGCUCGAAGGCGUGGGGAGCAAACAGG